Molecule: ribosomal RNA, 468 nt
Filed under: uncultured bacterium
Lineage: Bacteria
Description: partial 16S ribosomal RNA
Rfam family: Bacterial small subunit ribosomal RNA
Source: RNAcentral
GAUGAACGCUGGCGGCGUGCCUAACACAUGCAAGUCGAGCGAUUCUCUUCGGAGAAGAGCGGCGGACGGGUGAGUAACGCGUGGGUAACCUGCCCUGUACACACGGAUAACAUACCGAAAGGUAUGCUAAUACGGGAUAAUAUGCUUUAGUCGCAUGGCUGAAGUAUCAAAGCUCCGGCGGUACAGGAUGGACCCGCGUCUGAUUAGCUAGUUGGUAAGGUUAUGGCUUACCAAGGCGACGAUCAGUAGCCGACCUGAGAGGGUGAUCGGCCACAUUGGAACUGAGACACGGUCCAAACUCCUACGGGAGGCAGCAGUGGGGAAUAUUGCACAAUGGGCGAAAGCCUGAUGCAGCAACGCCGCGUGAGCGAUGAAGGCCUUCGGGUCGUAAAGCUCUGUCCUCAAGGAAGAUAAUGACGGUACUUGAGGAGGAAGCCCCGGCUAACUACGUGCCAGCAGCCGCUGUAA